This 347-nucleotide ribosomal RNA is filed under the name uncultured bacterium. RNAcentral describes it as "bacterial SSU rRNA". It matches the Rfam family "Bacterial small subunit ribosomal RNA", at positions 1 to 334 of the family's 1533-position model. The record is from RNAcentral.
GACGUGACUUCAGAGUUUGAUCCUGGCUCAGGACGAACGCUGGCGGCGUGCCUAACACAUGCAAGUCGAGCGGGGACGAUGGAGGAGCUUGCUCCGAAAUGUUCUAGCGGCGGACGGGUGAGUAACGCGUGAGCAAUCUGUCCCAGACAGGGGGAUAACAGAUGGAAACAUUUGCUAAUACCGCAUGAGACCACAAUGUCGCAUGGCAAAGGGGUCAAAGGAGCAAUCCGGUCUGGGGUGAGCUCGCGCCUGAUUAGCUAGUUGGUGAGGUAACGGCCCACCAAGGCGACGAUCAGUAGCCGACCUGAGAGGGUGAUCGGCCACAUUGGAACUGAGACACGGUCCAA